Molecule: transfer RNA, 64 nt
Filed under: Calyptogena extenta
Lineage: Eukaryota; Metazoa; Mollusca; Bivalvia; Venerida; Vesicomyidae
Also listed under: 1 other name
Description: tRNA-His
Source: RNAcentral
AGUCAAUUUAGUUUAAGUAAAAUGUUAUUUUGUGGAAAUAGAGAAAUCAGUAGUUAAUUGAUUU